GGCCGCAGUAUUUUGACUGUGCAAAGGUAGCAUAAUCAUUAGUCUAUUAAUUGUGGACUAGAAUGAAUGGUUUAACGAAGUAAAUUCUAUUUUUUUUAUAUUUUUAUUUGAAUUUUGGUUUUUAGUAAAAAAACUUAAAUUAUAUUAAGGGACGAGAAGACCCUAUAGAGUUUAAUAAAAUGAUAUUUUAUGAAGUUUUUAAUAAAUUAUGUAUUUUUUUAUUUGAUUGGGGUGAUUUAAAGAUAAUUGAAAUUUUUUAUUAUUUUAAAUUAAUUUUUAAAUUGUUUGAUCCAUAAUUUAAUUAUGAUUAUAAGAUUAAAUUACCUUAGGGAUAACAGCAUAA
RNAcentral lists this ribosomal RNA (343 nucleotides) under Thrinaconyx fumosus. RNAcentral's name for it is "partial 16S ribosomal RNA". The record is from RNAcentral. Lineage: Eukaryota; Metazoa; Arthropoda; Insecta; Mantodea; Thespidae.